RNAcentral lists this ribosomal RNA (146 nucleotides) under Ceratocystis sp. MVW-2007d. RNAcentral describes it as "5.8S ribosomal RNA". It matches the Rfam family "5.8S ribosomal RNA". From Rfam's summary of the family: 5.8S ribosomal RNA (5.8S rRNA) is a component of the large subunit of the eukaryotic ribosome. RNAcentral also lists the same sequence under 1 other name. The record is from RNAcentral. Lineage: Eukaryota; Fungi; Ascomycota; Sordariomycetes; Microascales; Ceratocystidaceae.
ACUUUCAACAACGGAUCUCUUGGCUCUAGCAUCGAUGAAGAACGCAGCGAAAUGCGAUAAGUAAUGUGAAUUGCAGAAUUCAGUGAAUCAUCGAAUCUUUGAACGCACAUUGCGCCUGGCAGUAUUCUGCCAGGCAUGCCUGUCCG